RNAcentral lists this ribosomal RNA (465 nucleotides) under Vreelandella stevensii. RNAcentral's name for it is "partial 16S ribosomal RNA". It matches the Rfam family "Bacterial small subunit ribosomal RNA", at positions 338 to 795 of the family's 1533-position model. The record is from RNAcentral. Lineage: Bacteria; Pseudomonadati; Pseudomonadota; Gammaproteobacteria; Oceanospirillales; Halomonadaceae.
CCUACGGGGGGCUGCAGUGGGGAAUAUUGGACAAUGGGGGGAACCCUGAUCCAGCCAUGCCGCGUGUGUGAAGAAGGCCCUCGGGUUGUAAAGCACUUUCAGUGAGGAAGAACGCCUGGUGGUUAAUACCCAUCAGGAAAGACAUCACUCACAGAAGAAGCACCGGCUAACUCCGUGCCAGCAGCCGCGGUAAUACGGAGGGUGCGAGCGUUAAUCGGAAUUACUGGGCGUAAAGCGCGCGUAGGUGGCUUGAUAAGCCGGUUGUGAAAGCCCCGGGCUCAACCUGGGAACGGCAUCCUGAACUGUCAAGCUAGAGUGCAGGAGAGGAAGGUAGAAUUCCCGGUGUAGCGGUGAAAUGCGUAGAGAUCGGGAGGAAUACCAGUGGCGAAGGCGGCCUUCUGGACUGACACUGACACUGAGGUGCGAAAGCGUGGGUAGCAAACAGGAUUAGAUAACCGAGUAGUC